RNAcentral lists this ribosomal RNA (731 nucleotides) under Streptomyces sp. SpC090624SC_01. RNAcentral's name for it is "bacterial SSU rRNA". It matches the Rfam family "Bacterial small subunit ribosomal RNA", at positions 39 to 787 of the family's 1533-position model. Lineage: Bacteria; Bacillati; Actinomycetota; Actinomycetes; Kitasatosporales; Streptomycetaceae. The record is from RNAcentral.
GCGGCGUGCUUAACACAUGCAAGUCGAACGAUGAACCACUUCGGUGGGGAUUAGUGGCGAACGGGUGAGUAACACGUGGGCAAUCUGCCCUGCACUCUGGGACAAGCCCUGGAAACGGGGUCUAAUACCGGAUACGAGCCUGGGAGGCAUCUCCCGGGUUGGAAAGCUCCGGCGGUGCAGGAUGAGCCCGCGGCCUAUCAGCUUGUUGGUGAGGUAACGGCUCACCAAGGCGACGACGGGUAGCCGGCCUGAGAGGGCGACCGGCCACACUGGGACUGAGACACGGCCCAGACUCCUACGGGAGGCAGCAGUGGGGAAUAUUGCACAAUGGGCGAAAGCCUGAUGCAGCGACGCCGCGUGAGGGAUGACGGCCUUCGGGUUGUAAACCUCUUUCAGCAGGGAAGAAGCGAGAGUGACGGUACCUGCAGAAGAAGCGCCGGCUAACUACGUGCCAGCAGCCGCGGUAAUACGUAGGGCGCAAGCGUUGUCCGGAAUUAUUGGGCGUAAAGAGCUCGUAGGCGGCUUGUCGCGUCGGUUGUGAAAGCCCGGGGCUUAACCCCGGGUCUGCAGUCGAUACGGGCAGGCUAGAGUUCGGUAGGGGAGAUCGGAAUUCCUGGUGUAGCGGUGAAAUGCGCAGAUAUCAGGAGGAACACCGGUGGCGAAGGCGGAUCUCUGGGCCGAUACUGACGCUGAGGAGCGAAAGCGUGGGGAGCGAACAGGAUUAGAUACCC